Orycteropus afer afer is the source of this 273-nucleotide non-coding RNA. NCBI's taxonomy places the organism in Eukaryota, Metazoa, Chordata, Mammalia, Tubulidentata, Orycteropodidae. The record is from RefSeq and is a predicted model, not a curated record.
AUGCCCAAGAGAAAGGCUGAAGGGGAUGCUAAGGGAGAUAAAGCCAAGGUGAAGGACGAACCACAGAGGAGAUCUGCAAGAUUAUCUGCUAAACCUGCUCCUCCAAAACCAGAGCCUAAGCCUAAAAAAGCCCCUGCAAAGAAGGGAGAGAAGGUACCCAAAGGGAAAAAAGGGAAAGCUGAUGCUGGCAAGGAUGGGAAAAACCCUGCAGAAAAUGGAGAUGCCAAAGCAGGCCAGGUACAGAAAGCUGAAGGUGCUGGAGAUGCCAAGUGA